AGGGGACGAGGCGGUCAUCAGAGGUCCUGAGGUCCAUCCAGUUGCGGAGACGCGGAAACGGAGAGAAACCGGCUGCGAAGGGGAAAGCGCUCUGUUCCCACCGCCCGGGAGCAACCCCGCGCGUGUGUGAACCACGCGGGCUGAGGGCUCAGCUCCUGGAGAGAAGGUGGAAAGUCCUGGGGCUGUGCGCGCCGCCCAGACAACAAGGACACCGGUCCCGGGCUCCGGAAGCCGCAAACUCCGCCCCAGCUAAAGGCCUCGGCGGCGCCCGGGGUGAUCAAGGCUGGCUAGGCCGGCGCUGGUGCCAGUGGCCGGGAGGGGUUUACCUGACGGUCUCCUGAAGCUGACGACGCCCGGACAUCGUCCUGCAGAAGAGCAGCUUCUAUUUGAAAAGCGAGAGGCCAGAGAGAAAGCUUGACACUGACAAUUGCAAAAACGCUUUAAAAAAAUGAAGACAGUGCUGGUGAGCAUCAGGAAGAAGAAAAUGAGCAGAAUAAUAAACAACAUUUAAGAAUGAAUGCAGCCAGGAUCAUAUUCACCUUUAUACCAAGGCAGUCAUAAGUUAAAUUCAUGUAUUAUUAUUUUAAGUGAAAGGUGUCCACAAGAACGAAAUUGCUUAGGACCCGUGAAAGUCACACUGCAGCCCUGGAUCAGGAGACAAUUAGCCACAGUUCCCAACUCCUGCGAAACCGCUGAACCAGCAUUCCGAGGUUUCCCGGGCAGUCCUGACGGAGGCUGGGGAAGAGUCCAAAGUAAAAGUUCUUGACCGCCUGAAGAUACUGAGCGUGGACUUCACCUACAUUAGCCCAGUUUAAUUUUCAUGGCGAAAGAAUAAAACAGAUAUAUGCUUGCAUAUUAAGAUGCCUUCAAUCUCUGGGUCUCCAUGAGCCGGGCCUGCCAAAGGCUGACACACACUCACGGCUCCAGCCUCAGCACUCAGGCGAUCCAUGCGUAUUUGUUACCUGAAUACUGAAAUGAAGAAACGUUUCUACCGGACUUUGAAGAAUGAAGGAUUUUGAUGGGCUAGAGCAGAAGUGAUCAUCCUAGAAAGAAGGAGAGGCUCAGAGGAAGAGAAGUCCUUGGAGAGAGAGUUCAGCAGAGCCUGGCUCUGAUUGAAGAAAGAAGGGCAGGAACCCAGUGUUAGUGUCUCAGAGUUGGGGACUUCCAAGAAACUGAGGCACCUUGAAGAUCCUCUCUUCAAACCCUGAUUCUUGCGAUCAAGUCAGGAAGAUUUCAGCCACAUUAGACAUAUCAGAGUAAGAGGAAUGAAUUUAUUGAAGAGACAGGGAAAAGGGACACUCUCAAGGGAGAGUGGGUCCUUUCAGAAAGGAGAGGACAAUGUGCUUCUCCUACACUCCAGUUUUAUUGGGGAUUUCAGAGAAGUUUCCAGAAAGUCCUGCCCAGAUCCACCUCUAGACUUUUGACUGACUGCAUGAUGACAUCAGAGUUUCAAGUCCCCAGUGUCAUGGCAACUCUAGGUCACCUUGGCCCAUGCUGACUGGUUCUAAUAGGAUUCUUAGCCAUCCAUUCUCACAGAUUUUAUGGUUAGGAGGAAUUACCCUUAGCUUCCAGAGUUUCAGGAUCUGGUCACAAAAGUCUCCUCCUUCAUCAUAACUUGGUUUCCUCUUAUCAACAUUAUUUCAGGUCUAUUUCUUCUGCAGUGAACAGGUAGUCUGCUGAGGAAUGUGACAUAUCCUGUCCACCAGGCCAGGCAGGACUGCAGGUAGUUUCCUUCUUGGAAAAGAAAUCAUGUGGGGGUCAGCAGCGUGGGCCCAUUUUAUAGAAUUAUUCUCUUAACCUCAUGUUGCUAUAGCAGUGAUCCACAUCACUUUCGAAUAUAACUCUGAGGCUUAUUAUUAUUUUUUUAAAUUUUUUCUUUAGUUGUUGAUGGUGAAGGGUUAUGG
Long non-coding RNA from Sciurus carolinensis (gray squirrel), 1904 nucleotides. RefSeq lists it as uncharacterized. The record is from RefSeq and is a predicted model, not a curated record. NCBI's taxonomy places the organism in Eukaryota, Metazoa, Chordata, Mammalia, Rodentia, Sciuridae. The transcript is spliced from 5 exons.